UGGGGAUUCUUCCGCAAUGGGGGCAACCCUGACGGAGCAACGCCGCGUGGGGGAUGACGCCCUUCGGGGUGUAAACCCCUUUUCUGCGGGAAGAAGGGCUUCGGCCUUGACGGUACCGCAGGAAGAAGGACCGGCUAACUACGUGCCAGCAGCCGCGGUAAUACGUAGGGUCCGAGCGUUGUCCGGAGUUACUGGGCGUAAAGCGCGCGUAGGCGGCGGUGCUGGCCCGGCGUGAAAGCCCCCGGCUCAACCGGGGAGGGUCGUCGGGGACCGCACCGCUUGAGGGCGGUAGGGGCUGGUGGAAUGCCUGGUGUAGUGGUGAAAUGCGUAGAGAUCAGGCGGAACACCCGUGACGAAGGCGGCCAGCUGGGCCGUCCCUGACGCUGAGGCGCGAAGGCGUGGGGAGCGAAAGGGAUUAGAACCCCUGUAGUC
Molecule: ribosomal RNA, 432 nt
Filed under: uncultured Agromyces sp.
Lineage: Bacteria; Bacillati; Actinomycetota; Actinomycetes; Micrococcales; Microbacteriaceae
Description: bacterial SSU rRNA
Rfam family: Bacterial small subunit ribosomal RNA
Source: RNAcentral